RNAcentral lists this ribosomal RNA (253 nucleotides) under uncultured prokaryote. RNAcentral's name for it is "partial 16S ribosomal RNA". It matches the Rfam family "Bacterial small subunit ribosomal RNA", at positions 525 to 777 of the family's 1533-position model. The record is from RNAcentral.
ACGGAGGGUGCGAGCGUUAAUCGGAAUUACUGGGCGUAAAGCGCACGUAGGCGGUCAUGUAAGUGGGAUGUGAAACCCCCGGGCUUAACCUGGGACUUGCAUACCAGACUGCAUGGCUAGAGUAUGAGAGAGGGUGGUGGAAUUUCCGGUGUAGCGGUGAAAUGCGUAGAGAUCGGAAGGAACAUCAGUGGCGAAGGCGGCCACCUGGCUUAAUACUGACGCUGAGGUGCGAAAGCGUGGGGAUCAAACAGGA